GACGAACGCUGGCGGCGUGCUUAACACAUGCAAGUCGAACGGAAAGGCCCUGCUUUUGUGGGGUGCUCGAGUGGCGAAAGGGUGCGUAACACGUGAGUAACCUGCCCUUGACUUUGGGAUAACUUCAGGAAACUGGGGCUAAUACCGGAUAGGAGCUCCUGCUGCAUGGUGGGGGGUGGAAAGUUUCGGCGGUCGGGGAUGGACUCGCGGCUUAUCAGCUUGUUGGUGGGGUAGUGGCUUACCAAGGCUUUGACGGGUAGCCGGCCUGAGAGGGUGACCGGCCACAUUGGGACUGAGAUACGGCCCAGACUCCUACGGGGGGCAGCAGUGGGGAAUAUUACACAAUGGGCGGAAGCCUGAUGCAGCAACGCCGCGUGCGGGAUGACGGCCUUCGGGUUGUAAACCGCUUUCGCCUGUGACGAAGCGUUAGUGACGGUAAUGAGUAAAGAAGCACCGGCUAACUACGUG
Molecule: ribosomal RNA, 468 nt
Filed under: uncultured bacterium
Lineage: Bacteria
Description: partial 16S ribosomal RNA
Rfam family: Bacterial small subunit ribosomal RNA
Source: RNAcentral